Molecule: transfer RNA, 71 nt
Filed under: Ixodes scapularis (black-legged tick)
Lineage: Eukaryota; Metazoa; Arthropoda; Arachnida; Ixodida; Ixodidae
Description: tRNA-Ser
Source: RNAcentral
UCCUGGUUAGCUCAGCUGGUAGAGCAAUACUGGAGAUGAAGAGGUUCCUGGUUUGAUACCAGGACCAGGCU